GAUGAACGCUGGCGGCGUGCCUAAUACAUGCAAGUCGAGCGAACGGACGAGAAGCUUGCUUCUCUGAUGUUAGCGGCGGGCGGGUGAGUAACACGUGGAUAACCUACCUAUAAGACUGGGAUAACUUCGGGAAACCGGAGCUAAUACCGGAUAAUAUUUUGAACCGCAUGGUUCAAAAGUGAAAGACGGUCUUGCUGUCACUUAUAGAUGGAUCCGCGCUGCAUUAGCUAGUUGGUAAGGUAACGGCUUACCAAGGCAACGAUGCAUAGCCGACCUGAGAGGGUGAUCGGCCACACUGGAACUGAGACACGGUCCAGACUCCUACGGGAGGCAGCAGUAGGGAAUCUUCCGCAAUGGGCGAAAGCCUGACGGAGCAACGCCGCGUGAGUGAUGAAGGUCUUCGGAUCGUAAAACUCUGUUGUUAGGGAAGAACAUAUGUGUAAGUAACUGUGCACAUCUUGACGGUACCUAAUCAGAAAGCCACGGCUAACUACGUGCCAGCAGCCGCGGUAAUACGUAGGUGGCAAGCGUUAUCCGGAAUUAUUGGGCGUAAAGCGCGCGUAGGCGGUUUUUUAAGUCUGAUGUGAAAGCCCACGGCUCAACCGUGGAGGGUCAUUGGAAACUGGAAAACUUGAGUGCAGAAGAGGAAAGUGGAAUUCCAUGUGUAGCGGUGAAAUGCGCAGAGAUAUGGAGGAACACCAGUGGCGAAGGCGACUUUCUGGUCUGUAACUGACGCUGAUGUGCGAAAGCGUGGGGAUCAAACAGGAUUAGAUACCCUGGUAGUCCACGCCGUAAACGAUGAGUGCUAAGUGUUAGGGGGUUUCCGCCCCUUAGUGCUGCAGCUAACGCAUUAAGCACUCCGCCUGGGGAGUACGACCGCAAGGUUGAAACUCAAAGGAAUUGACGGGGACCCGCACAAGCGGUGGAGCAUGUGGUUUAAUUCGAAGCAACGCGAAGAACCUUACCAAAUCUUGACAUCCUUUGACAACUCUAGAGAUAGAGCUUUCCCCUUCGGGGGACAAAGUGACAGGUGGUGCAUGGUUGUCGUCAGCUCGUGUCGUGAGAUGUUGGGUUAAGUCCCGCAACGAGCGCAACCCUUAAGCUUAGUUGCCAUCAUUAAGUUGGGCACUCUAAGUUGACUGCCGGUGACAAACCGGAGGAAGGUGGGGAUGACGUCAAAUCAUCAUGCCCCUUAUGAUUUGGGCUACACACGUGCUACAAUGGACAAUACAAAGGGCAGCGAAACCGCGAGGUCAAGCAAAUCCCAUAAAGUUGUUCUCAGUUCGGAUUGUAGUCUGCAACUCGACUACAUGAAGCUGGAAUCGCUAGUAAUCGUAGAUCAGCAUGCUACGGUGAAUACGUUCCCGGGUCU
This 1372-nucleotide ribosomal RNA is filed under the name uncultured bacterium. RNAcentral describes it as "bacterial SSU rRNA". It matches the Rfam family "Bacterial small subunit ribosomal RNA", at positions 28 to 1381 of the family's 1533-position model. The record is from RNAcentral.